GGGUCAGUAGGUUGGUCGUGCCACCGGUACGUACUGGUCUCACUGAUUCCUCCUUCUUGAAGAACCGUAAUGCCAUUAAUUUGGUGUUGCGGGGAAACAGGACUGUUACUUUGAAAAAAUUUGAGUGUUUAAAGCAAGCUAACGCUUGAAUACAUUAGCAUGGAAUAAUGAAAUAGGACGAUCGAUCCUAUUUUGUUGGUUUCUAGGAUUGACGUA
RNAcentral lists this ribosomal RNA (216 nucleotides) under Glomeromycotina sp. Its description in RNAcentral is "partial small subunit ribosomal RNA". The stretch from base 40 to 216 matches the Rfam family "Eukaryotic small subunit ribosomal RNA", at positions 686 to 864 of the family's 1831-position model. The record is from RNAcentral. Lineage: Eukaryota; Fungi; Glomeromycota.